RNAcentral lists this long non-coding RNA (1978 nucleotides) under Equus caballus (horse). RNAcentral's name for it is "lncRNA (ENSECAG00000049035.1)". The record is from RNAcentral. Lineage: Eukaryota; Metazoa; Chordata; Mammalia; Perissodactyla; Equidae.
CUAAUUAUAACAACCAACUGAGAAUAAGUAUUACUAUAUUGCUGUUUUUGUUUUACAGAAGAGGAAACUAUUGCUCAGUAAAGAUCAGAAGUGUAUCCAGAGCACCACAGCUAGUAACUUAUGGUGCUGGCUUCAAACCCAGAUCUGUGAUACUAAAACCUGUGCUCUUUCCAUCAUAUUACAGUAAUUCCCAACAGACUGGCCCCAGCAACAGAGAAACAGUCUAGGGUGUAUCUUAACUAUACGGCACAGAGCUACAUGGUAUAUGAAAGAAAUUUCUAGACGUGGUCUCCAGUUUUGUAUGGAGCUCAGAGUUUAAGAACCACCCUGAUAUGAGCAAAGUGAAAGACCAUAUUUGGGUGGAGCUGAGCUAUUUAUAGCAUCAUCAGGUACUUUUGAUAAUUGAAGAUGAGGAGAUUCUGCACAAUCCUAAAGCCUUUCUUCAUAGAUGGAAUUUGUUUUAAGGAAGCAAAAAACAAAGAUACGUCUGGGAACUUUGACUGAGGGGAAUUGGCAUUUAAACUACAUCUACUGGCUCCAAUAUUGGCACCAGGUUAACAUUCAGUUUCUGGAACUCUUCAUUUCACUUGGGUUCCAAUUAUUCUUGCUCUCUCAUCAAAAAUGUAAAUUCCCUUGUAGGAUCGUGCGGAACAGACACUUAAUAUUUACUCAUCAUUCUCCUAAUUGGUUUCCCAAUCAAUAGUUACUACAGUUGAAAAUUGUCAUUGCUAUGUCUUAGAAAACAAAGAUUAUAUGGAACCAAAACUGUAAAGGCACAAAAGUGAUCAUAAAACACACAUUUUAGGUAUAUGCAAUAAAUUUAACAAAUAUUAAGGGCUUUGAUCUGAAUGUCUGUGUCCUCCUAAAAUUCACAUGUUGGAAUCCUUACGCCCGAUGUUAUGGUGUUAGAAGGUGCGGCCUUUGAGAGGUGAUGAGGUGUUGACGGUGGAGGCCUCACGAAUGGGAUCAGUGCUCUUGUAGAAGACAUCCCAGAAAGCUGCCUAGCCCCCAGUCCACCGUGCAAGGAGACGAGAAUUCUGCAGCCCCGAAGAGAGCGUUCAUCGGACGAUGCUGGCACCUUGAUCUCGGCUGUCCAGGCUCCAGAACUGUCGGCCAAGGAUGAUGAUUACAACAUGGGAGUAUCUUCGCAGUUUUCCUAUUCUCAGAAGUUUUCCACAUUUAGUGUCUCAAGAGCCCAUUUAAAAUAGGUAUAUUAUGGGCUUAUUUUCUGGAUGUACCUAAUCUACACCACCUGUUCAGGUUGUUAUCAACUUUCCCUGACUUUUUCCUUACAAAUGGACCUUGGAGUCAAUAUUUAAACACAUUAUAUCUAGCCUCUCAAUGCGUUAAUUUGGCAACAAGACUAACAAAAAUUUGAGAAGGGCCUAUAUCAGAAAUGGAGAAACUUCUAAUGACCUGGACUGAAGACCAGACACAGGAGCAUAUCCCUCUCAGCACCAUGACAAUCACAGCCAAAGCAAAAAGUUUACUUGUGAUAUUGAAAGAAAAGACUGGAUCCAACUACAAUGUUGAAUUUACUGCUAGCUCUGGGCGGUUUAAACAAUUCAGGAAUGAUUAUUUAUUACACACUGUGAAAGGAGUGGUGAAUCUGCAAGUGCUGAUGUGAAGGCAAUGAAGAAUUUUUGGAAACUCUAGAUAAGCUGACUGUGGAGGAAAAUUACUUGCCAGAACAAAUAUUCAAUAUGGGUGAAAGCUCCCUAUUCUGGAAAUGGAUGCCUGAAAGGAUGUUAAUCCAUAGGGAGGCCAAGUCAAUGCCAGGUUUCAAGGCUUAACAAUCUUGCUUGGGGGUAAUGUUGCAAGCUACAUAUUGAAACCCUUUGUGAUCUGACACAGUGAGAACCCCAGGGCCUUCAAGCAUAUCAAUAAGCACACAAUUCCAGUAUUCUACAUGAGCAAUAAGAAGUCAUGGAUGACCCAGCUCCUCUUCUGAGAUGCCCUCCUGAGUUGCUAUGCCAGC